AACGCGAAGAACCUUACCUGGGCUCGAACGGCUUACGACCGGGGUGGAAACACCCUCUCCCCUUAAAAGGCGUGAGUCGAGGUGCUGCAUGGCUGUCGUCAGCUCGUGUCGUGAGAUGUUGGGUUAAGUCCCGCAACGAGCGCAACCCUUGUCCUGUGUUGGCAUGCCGCAAGGCGCAACUCGCAGGAGACCGCCAGCGAUAAGCUGGAGGAAGGUGGGGAUGACGUCAAGUCAUCAUGGCCUUUAUGUCCAGGGCCACACACGUGCUACAAUGGGCGGUACAAAGCGCUGCCAACCCGCGAGGGGGAGCUAAUCGCCAAAAACCGUCCUCAGUUCGGAUCGCAGGCUGCAACUCGCCUGCGUGAAGCUGGAAUCGCUAGUAAUGCUAUAUCAGAACGAUAGCGUGAAUACGUUCCCGGGCCUUGUACACACCGCGAGC
This 439-nucleotide ribosomal RNA is filed under the name uncultured bacterium. RNAcentral's name for it is "bacterial SSU rRNA". It matches the Rfam family "Bacterial small subunit ribosomal RNA", at positions 958 to 1397 of the family's 1533-position model. The record is from RNAcentral.